This 136-nucleotide small nucleolar RNA is filed under the name Chlamydomonas reinhardtii. RNAcentral describes it as "CrACA42e snoRNA". Lineage: Eukaryota; Viridiplantae; Chlorophyta; Chlorophyceae; Chlamydomonadales; Chlamydomonadaceae. The record is from RNAcentral.
AGCCUGUGGCAGAACCUGUCAGGGCUCUGGUUACUGACGGGCUUUGAACCUGGCUAAAUUAGCGGCACAGCAUGCAACUCCGGGAGAUAGGGCUCUAAAAUAAUAGCCCCGUCCAUCGAAUGCACGGCUGACAGCU